GGUAACCAUUAAUUAUUGUCACCUGCUGACGAUUCUACCGAACCACCUUGUUAAAUUACGGAGGCGCUAUUGGGCUGAUACUGACCAGGGCGGCCUAGUGGACCAGCUCCAGAACACCGGUACGAGCACAGACAGUUUGGAGUCCAUGCAACUGACCAGGUAUAAGGAAAUCCUGGACUUGUUGGGGAAUUUAGGUUCCAAACACCCGCAGGAGGCAGAACAUGUGUUUGAGGAGCCACUUCAGUGGAACACCACUUUAGCGAAAUCUGAUUUCAAAGAAGACAUCAGAAAAUAGAGACCUCAUGGUUAAGAUUGUUGGUCAGAGGAAGACCUCUCAGCUCUGGAGUUAGACGUCAGAGUCAAGCUGUUUAUCCUGCUCAAAAACACUGAUGAAAAGAUCCUCAACAAGUUUGUUGGAGAAAUAGCAAAACAAGUCAAGCUUUUACCCACCGCAGUGGAGGAGGAAGUGGGGUUCUUGAGACAAUACUGCACUGAAGGAGGGAAGAGGCUGCUGAAGUCAGUGAGAUACACAUCAGUAUUUUGUAGAACAGAAACCUCGUAGGAGUAUUCAUCUUGCACACGUGRUUUAUGAAAAAGAACAAGCCCAACCUAAAACACCUGAAGAACGAGAGUGGGAGAAUCUACAGCGAGCUCUGUACGGCAGGAAGAAACGUGAACCAUGUCAGAGAUGGAGGAAUCUUGGUGUGCUGACUAUAUGUGGUGCAGCCGAGAAAGAGGAGCUCUUGAUGACCUCUGCAGAGAGGAAACGACUGGGAUCCAAAACCAAGACCAUGAUGAAGGGUGGACUUUGCAUCAUCUUCACCUGGACUCACAACAUUCCUG
Non-coding RNA from Poecilia reticulata (guppy), 843 nucleotides. The record is from RefSeq and is a predicted model, not a curated record. Lineage: Eukaryota; Metazoa; Chordata; Actinopteri; Cyprinodontiformes; Poeciliidae.